Long non-coding RNA from Cavia porcellus (domestic guinea pig), 511 nucleotides. RefSeq lists it as uncharacterized. Lineage: Eukaryota; Metazoa; Chordata; Mammalia; Rodentia; Caviidae. The transcript is spliced from 3 exons. The record is from RefSeq and is a predicted model, not a curated record.
GGGAUUCCCACAGGACACAGGACACGCACGUUCCUGAACUUAAGCAUGACGCCCAGCACCGGCCUGCGGACCCGGUGGAGACCACAGUUGCUUUAGAGAAGAUCUAUGAAUACCAGGAGCCCUUUGCCCUGAAGAGCACUGGAGAGCAGCAGCUGAGAAAGAGAUCUUGGUCCUCAGAGCCCAGAGCCUCUACUCAUGACUGCGUGAGCAAAAGAACCCUCAACUGAAUUGUUCUGACUUUUGAAAACAAGAUAUAUCAAGUCAGAAAUAACUACAAAAAAAGUGUGGGAUGAGAACAAGAAGCCAAAACCUCCUGUGAGUCGGCACCAUGUGCGGGUUGACUGGGAGAGAGCCAGCCACCAAUACCUUCCAGUGAGCGGGCAGAGAGACAGGAAGAGCCAACGUUUGCCCCACCCCAUAAGUGACAAGCUGAUCUGGAGAAACACAGGCUAUGACGAUACUAAUGAGGUAAAAUAAACUUAAUGCUUGUAGUGUUUGAUGUUUCACUGUC